GGCCUGGUGGUGUAACGGUAACAUCCCUGCUUGCAUUGCCAUUUCUGAACAAUUUCAGCAGAAGCUCCUUGUUCGACUCAAGGUCAGGUCU
This is a non-coding RNA of Mycena latifolia, 91 nucleotides long. The record is from the annotation of a GenBank genome assembly. Lineage: Eukaryota; Fungi; Basidiomycota; Agaricomycetes; Agaricales; Mycenaceae.